UCCGUAGGGUGAACCUGCGGAAGGAUCAUUACCGAGUGCGGGUCCUUUGGGCCCAACCUCCCAUCCGUGUCUAUUGUACCCUGUUGCUUCGGCGGGCCCGCCGCUUGUCGGCCGCCGGGGGGGCGCCUCUGCCCCCCGGGCCCGUGCCCGCCGGAGACCCCAACACGAACACUGUCUGAAAGCGUGCAGUCUGAGUUGAUUGAAUGCAAUCAGUUAAAACUUUCAACAAUGGAUCUCUUGGUUCCGGCAUCGAUGAAGAACGCAGCGAAAUGCGAUAACUAAUGUGAAUUGCAGAAUUCAGUGAAUCAUCGAGUCUUUGAACGCACAUUGCGCCCCCUGGUAUUCCGGGGGGCAUGCCUGUCCGAGCGUCAUUGCUGCCCUCAAGCCCGGCUUGUGUGUUGGGUCGCCGUCCCCCUCUCCGGGGGGACGGGCCCGAAAGGCAGCGGCGGCACCGCGUCCGAUCCUCGAGCGUAUGGGGCUUUGUCACAUGCUCUGUAGGAUUGGCCGGCGCCUGCCGACGUUUUCCAACCAUUCUUCCAGGUGACCUCGGAUCAGGUAGGA
RNAcentral lists this ribosomal RNA (561 nucleotides) under Aspergillus sp. J7. Its description in RNAcentral is "partial 18S ribosomal RNA". The stretch from base 218 to 371 matches the Rfam family "5.8S ribosomal RNA". The record is from RNAcentral. Lineage: Eukaryota; Fungi; Ascomycota; Eurotiomycetes; Eurotiales; Aspergillaceae.